ACUACUAUUUUAUGCAUGCAAUGCAUGGAUUAUGUUUUUAAUGUUUUUGUUUUUCAAGUUAUAUAUUAAGCCUUAAAAGCAAAUUAAAUGUUGCUUUUUAAUUAUGUAUGUUACGUUA
This is a long non-coding RNA of Ipomoea nil (Japanese morning glory), 118 nucleotides long. RefSeq lists it as uncharacterized. NCBI's taxonomy places the organism in Eukaryota, Viridiplantae, Streptophyta, Magnoliopsida, Solanales, Convolvulaceae. The transcript has 2 exons. The record is from RefSeq and is a predicted model, not a curated record.